GAAUUCUUAAUAAGAGAUUAUUUAGGAGUUUGUUUUCUUCACUACUUUUGAAAACAAGAAACUUAUUUUCUUUUAAACAUAUUUUUUUUCAAUUAUUCUUUACUCAAAUUUGAAUUAGUUUUCAAUUAGGACUUUGGGAGUUUUAUUUUUCCGAAAACCAACAGGACCUAAACGUGGCUCGCUAGAAAUUUUAAAAAAUUCAUUUUUCUCACACAAGCCAAACAAAACUAGGGCACAAAGCACACAACAACCAAAACAAAACACCCUUCACUUAAUUUUAAUAAAAGUUUUAAAAUUCUACAUUUUUCUCAUUUCAUAAUAACAAUAAUUAAUAAAAAUCAUGUAAUACUUUAGAAAAAUUUUAAAUCCUUAUUUAAUUUAGUGUUUUUCUAAUAGCAAUCCAAAAUUAAAAAUUUUGGAGUGUUAUAUAGACUAGAAGUAUGCAAUCACAUGCAGUCCAUUUAGAUCCACUCAAAACUAUUUCACUCUUACACAAGGAGUGAAUACCAAAAACAUGUUUGUUAGGUUUUCAUCCACCAAAUAAAUGGUCCAAGUUAUCAUUAUCAUCUCUCAAAAUUAAUUGUAGAUGAGAUACAUGGGCUAUGCAAAAGUUAUUGAAGAAAAAAAUGGACAAGUGUUUGAAUAAUUAAAACAAUGGGUACUUUGAUGCCCACCUAAAAAAAGAAAGAAAAAGAAAGAGAGAGAGAGAGAGAGAGAGAGAGAGAGAGAGAGAGAAAGAAGAAUAAGAUAGCCCAUGUUUUCUUGCAAGUGUCUUCUAAGAGAGAUAAGUUUUUCAAAGGAGCAAUAUAUAAUUUGUUUUUCAUCACUUCCACUAUAUAUCCACUCCACCACAUCCACACACAUGCACAUCUUGAUUUGAUUGUACGACUUAUUUAUCUGGAUCCAUUGUUUCAGUUUAUCAUAAAUGCUUUGCAAGUAUGUAUGGCUGUCUCCACACCUAUAAGUUCCACAUAAGCUUUAUUAGUAGUAGGGUGAGAGAGAGAAGGCAUACCAUCAUUACUGCCUUAAGAAGAAUCCAAAAUACUAUAUAUCCCAAGAGACUAGAGAGAGUCAUGCAAAGGAAUCUCUGAGUUUUAUUUUGAAAAAUAUAUGAAAACUCCAGGUGAAACAAAGAAUAUGAGACAUAGUGCUUCACUAGAUUAUUAUGUCUUUCAAUUGCUCAAGGCCCCCA
RNAcentral lists this long non-coding RNA (1192 nucleotides) under Sorghum bicolor (sorghum). Its description in RNAcentral is "long non-coding RNA (SBIC_LNC003295)". The record is from RNAcentral. Lineage: Eukaryota; Viridiplantae; Streptophyta; Magnoliopsida; Poales; Poaceae.